RNAcentral lists this ribosomal RNA (458 nucleotides) under Klebsiella variicola. RNAcentral describes it as "bacterial SSU rRNA". It matches the Rfam family "Bacterial small subunit ribosomal RNA", at positions 1 to 453 of the family's 1533-position model. The record is from RNAcentral. Lineage: Bacteria; Pseudomonadati; Pseudomonadota; Gammaproteobacteria; Enterobacterales; Enterobacteriaceae.
ACUUAAAUUGAAGAGUUUGAUCAUGGCUCAGAUUGAACGCUGGCGGCAGGCCUAACACAUGCAAGUCGAGCGGUAGCACAGAGAGCUUGCUCUCGGGUGACGAGCGGCGGACGGGUGAGUAAUGUCUGGGAAACUGCCUGAUGGAGGGGGAUAACUACUGGAAACGGUAGCUAAUACCGCAUAACGUCGCAAGACCAAAGUGGGGGACCUUCGGGCCUCAUGCCAUCAGAUGUGCCCAGAUGGGAUUAGCUGGUAGGUGGGGUAACGGCUCACCUAGGCGACGAUCCCUAGCUGGUCUGAGAGGAUGACCAGCCACACUGGAACUGAGACACGGUCCAGACUCCUACGGGAGGCAGCAGUGGGGAAUAUUGCACAAUGGGCGCAAGCCUGAUGCAGCCAUGCCGCGUGUGUGAAGAAGGCCUUCGGGUUGUAAAGCACUUUCAGCGGGGAGGAAGGCG